GAUGAAGAACGUAGCGAAAUGCGAUAAGUAAUGCGAAUUGCAGAAUCCGUGAGUCAUCGAAUCUUUGAACGCACAUUGCGCCCGCCAGCAUUCUGGCGGGCAUGCCUGUUCGAGCGUCAUUUCAACCCUCGACCUCCCUUUGGGGAAGUCGGCGUUGGGGACAGGCAGCACACCGCCGGCCCUGAAAUGGAGUGGCGGCCCGUCCGCGGCGACCUCUGCGUAGUAAACCAACUCGCACCGGAACCCCGACGUGGCCACGCCGUAAAACACCCAACUUCUGAACGUUGACCUCGAAUCAGGUAGGACUACCCGCUGAACUUAAGCAUAUCAAUAAGCGGAGGA
This 342-nucleotide unclassified non-coding RNA is filed under the name soil metagenome. RNAcentral's name for it is "partial contains 5.8S ribosomal RNA, internal transcribed spacer 2, and large subunit ribosomal RNA". The stretch from base 1 to 119 matches the Rfam family "5.8S ribosomal RNA", at positions 35 to 154 of the family's 154-position model. The record is from RNAcentral.